This 79-nucleotide transfer RNA is filed under the name Calditrichota bacterium. Its description in RNAcentral is "Calditrichaeota bacterium (activated sludge metagenome) tRNA-Tyr". It matches the Rfam family "tRNA". Rfam says of the family: Transfer RNA (tRNA) molecules are approximately 80 nucleotides in length. Their secondary structure includes four short double-helical elements and three loops (D, anti-codon, and T loops). The record is from RNAcentral. Lineage: Bacteria; Pseudomonadati; Calditrichota.
GGGUCGGUGGCAGAAUGGUUAUGCGUUAGAUUGUAAAUCUAUGGGUUUCCCAAUGUAGGUUCGAAUCCUAUCCGGCUCA